CGAGAAAACCGCUUGCACCGUCAGCAUUUCCUGGUUUCCAUGUUUAUCUCAGCUCUGAAUAAUGUGCGUACGCCGGCGUAUUCAUAAUACAAGAGAGAAAAUUUAGUUCGAUUGACCUAGCGCCAAAUUGAUGUGACAAACUAAAUUUUACGAUCGCAGAGUCAGACAAUAAUUGCACCCUGGAUACUUCCAGGAUAAAAGUUUAACGGAAACAUCGAGCACACACCGAACUCUAUACUAGCUCUAAUGGGAUUCUAAUGGCAAGAAACGUAAGUUCACUAAGUAUGAUCCGACAAUUGAUGGAGCCAGCAAUCAAACCCCGCAAGAAGCAAAGUUCAACCAGUGUACGUCGAUCCUGUACAGAUGAGAACAAAUGAUUGCGAAUCAGAAUGAGAGUACCUAUCCAAUAGGUGGGUAUAUCCCAAGUGUAACAACAUAAUAUCGAUGGUGUUCUCGGUUUUCGUAGAGAUUUUUUUUCUCCUGGGCUUUGCACAAACGAGAUAAACUAGGUGCAAAAUAGUAACAACCCAAACAGAAUACAGCAUUUGCUGAAUUUAUAAAAACUUACUUGACUGGUAUUAUUCACAAAGGAAGUGAAAACUAGCUUUCUAUGAUUCACACUAGGGUGAAAAUAUUUAUAUGGCGAAUAUGAUUAUAUAGCUCACAAUCCAGUCAAGUCAGAAUUUUAGCCGUUUAGAAGCAGAUGAACAUAGACUUAAUAAUAACAUUGUUUCAACAAUGAAACGGUCAAGAAUUAGCAAUAUUUAUGCCUAUUUACUUAUGAGCUUCCAAAUAAACUGUAAUUAACAUUAAAUUUUCUCUGCUUAGUUGAGAAAUCGCUUCUAACUAACAUUAGUAAGUAAUUAUGAAAAUGAUCCUAAAAAUAACAAAAAAGUUUAAAAUUGCUAGUGUAAAACAAUAAUUAAGUUAGUACAAAAACACAUUUAAAAAUCAAGGAAAUUGUACUUUAGGAAUGAUCUGCAAGAGGUUAUAUGAUAUAAUAUUUUGGACUAAUAUUACAAUUUUCCGAUCAUUUCAUUUUCAUGAAUUGAUGAUAGCAAUAAUUCAAAUUAAUAAACUAUACACCAUACAUAUCGUUCCAUUUUACUGUUUUUCAGUCAUGCAUAUGAUAUAUAACAAUACUCUUAUUGUUGCGCUUAUAUUAUCAACACAUAUUGAAAAUUGUGUAUUUCGUUGGUAGUUUCCAUGAAGGAAUAAGUGCUCUAGAUUGGAUUCUGCUCAAACCAAAGCAAUAAUUAGAAUAUCCAGCGCUACAUAAUGCGAAUCCGAUGCAGAUUGGACUGAUGGGACUUUGGUUAAUUUCCCGAAGGUCCACUUUAAUUGGAAAUAUAUGGGAGCAACAAACAACAGUAGCCAUACGUUAAGUCCGUGAGUUAAGGGUUUUUGAAUUUUCUGCAGUUCGUUUGCUGUUUCCAUAAUUCAAAAACGCUGUUUCGUAAUAAUCUGCACGUUCAAAGUUGAAACGUUUAAUUAACAUUUUUCUGGAACCUUUCUUAAUUAACAGUUGUGGAAAUGAAAACUAAUGCAAUUAUGUUGUUUCCGGUUAUAUUCUGGUUAAGCUGCAUUUUAUUUAAUAUUUUGGAAUAAUGUUAAUUGAGUCAUUGUUCAUUUAACUCCUGACAUAAUAGUAAUAUUUUCUUGAGAUGCUUUAUAUUCCUCAGUAUUGAAAACUUUUGAGAUCCGUCGGUUAGCGCAGAAAAUAAAUUCAAUUAAAAAAACUUAAGAAGAAAGUUUUGUUUUCCAACUUUUAUUCGCACUGCAGCACUCUAUUGAAACUGCUUAAAAGCAACUCCCGGAUUAUUAAAACCCCUCUUUCUUGCUUAACAUAUUAUUAAGAAUAAAAUGAGUU
Long non-coding RNA from Dendroctonus ponderosae (mountain pine beetle), 1870 nucleotides. RefSeq lists it as uncharacterized. The transcript has 3 exons. The record is from RefSeq and is a predicted model, not a curated record. Lineage: Eukaryota; Metazoa; Arthropoda; Insecta; Coleoptera; Curculionidae.